RNAcentral lists this ribosomal RNA (402 nucleotides) under Verrucomicrobiota bacterium. RNAcentral describes it as "Verrucomicrobia bacterium partial 16S ribosomal RNA". It matches the Rfam family "Bacterial small subunit ribosomal RNA", at positions 355 to 776 of the family's 1533-position model. Lineage: Bacteria; Pseudomonadati; Verrucomicrobiota. The record is from RNAcentral.
UGGGGAAUUUUGCACAAUGGGGGAAACCCUGAUGCAGCGACGCCGCGUGAUUUAGAAGGCCUUCGGGUUGUAAAAAUCUUUUGUAUGGGAAGAAAAUGACAGUACCAUACGAAUAAGGACCGGCUAAUUACGUGCCAGCAGCCGCGGUAAUACGUAAGGUCCGAGCGUUGUCCGGAAUCAUUGGGCCUAAAGGGUACGUAGGCGGAUAAGCAAGUUAGAAGUGAAAUCCUAUAGCUCAACUAUAGUAAGCUUUUAAAACUGCUCAUCUUGAGGUAUGGAAGGGAAAGUGGAAUUCCUAGUGUAGCGGUGAAAUGCGCAGAUAUUAGGAGGAAUACCGGUGGCGAAGGCGACUUUCUGGCCAUAUACUGACGCUGAGGUACGAAAGCGUGGGUAGCAAACAGG